UGUCCAAUCUGACCUCAUUCAGCAUGAUCUUCCAGUUGAACAUAGUUCUGACAUGAAACUGGACUUGCCUGUAACUGAUGUUAUUUGCACUCAGCCAUCUAGGCUAUGCACUAGAUCGGGUAGGCCUGUUAAGCCUCCAGCCAGACUUAUAUGUGAAAUGAAUGAACAGGUUGUGGAUGAUUCAAUGUCGACUGUGCACUCUCUCUUUUCCUUUGUGAAGACCAUGUUUGCAGGGUAGAUUUGUAUUGUUUCAAAGUUUAUUUCUGGGUUGUUUUUUUUUUUUUUUGCUCAGUGACUGCUUUGUAGAGCAAUGGUUGUUUAUCAAAAGGUGUAAAUGGCAUCUUUUGGGUCUGUGUUGGUAGGAGUAUUGGCCACACUUUUGCUAACAUUAUUCCUUAGGGGAAGUUUUGAACUGAUGUGACUACUAUGUGCUCUUUAUUUUUAUUUUUUUUAUUGCACUUUUGUGUUAGUGCUGUGUGUAUUUGAUACAACCCGAUUUUAGCAGAAUUUACGGGGGGUGUAUGUAACAUAGUUAAUAUGGUUCAGGUUAAAUCCUGCUAAAAUGCACCAUCUGCUGGUUUAAUGGAGUAUAACAUUCACCCUAGAAAGAGCAGGGUAUUAUGGGUAAUCCUCAGAGCCAUAAGGAUCACUGUUGAGGAGCAUGUUUAUGCUAGAGACUGACUUUACCUCGAUGCCCAUGUGUGAAAUACAGAUGGUGAAUUAAAGAGAACUACUGAUGCCAGCUUGAGCUCCUGUCAUCCAUUGCCACCCUAAGAGAAGCCACCAGAACCACAUAGGUCACACUGGCGCGGCAGCCGCAUCGCUCCCAUUGCCACCCCCAAGUGGUACAGCCAGGUGAACAAUCCCCCCCUUUAACGACCGACCUUCAGAAUCAUAGACAGGUUUCAGAUAUUAAAGGCUAACAAUGGGACCAAA
Cyprinodon tularosa is the source of this 936-nucleotide long non-coding RNA. RefSeq lists it as uncharacterized. The record is from RefSeq and is a predicted model, not a curated record. The transcript is spliced from 3 exons. Lineage: Eukaryota; Metazoa; Chordata; Actinopteri; Cyprinodontiformes; Cyprinodontidae.